AUGCUUUUUUGUGAUCUUCCAUACUUGACUUCCUUCUUAGAGAUAGCCCUGGCUUUUGGGAAUAACUUUUGGGCUCUGAGGCUGUUACUGGACCAUCUUUCCUAUGAGGAACAUGUUCUCCAUGGCACUGUCAACCUGAUUUUAAGAGAUCUAAAUCGUCAGAAAGCAACAAUGCUAAAACUGUGGCAAAACCUUGGUCCCCAGUAUGUGGGUGAAUUCCUUUGCCUGUUCCUGACUUGCAGACAUAAGAAGAUGCAAUCCAUUGGCCUGUUCACUCUGAAUAUUAUUACAGAGAACCUGCAUAUGUGUCCAUGGGCAAAGCAUCUUUGCAACUUCUUUCACAAUGCAGGAUUAAGGCACCUGCCCCUUGGCACUGCAGCUCAUCAUGAAGUCUCGAAGUUCAUAAACAUUUUUGAAAAAAUGUAAUUUGGCAAAGUCUUCAGGAAUAUUUUCCAAUUUGUCUUAAUCUGAGAAAUCUCUUCCUGGAGUCCCCUGUGUUCUGCUUUGGUUGUCAUCUCCAAAAACAUUCAGCUAAAAACUGACUUCAGACAAAUCCAGAAAUGAGCUCCUAGGAUAAGAUGGUGAAUAGCGGCUGUAUUUCAGCAGACGUGUUUGGGAAAUUUCCUUUCUUGUAGGUCCCUGUAUUAAGCAGUUUAAUUUUAAAGAAGUGGCAGGUUUAAGUUUGUGGGGGGGUUUUAAAGCCAGUAUACAGAGAGAUGCUGAUGAGGAGGGUGGGAGUAAUGAGGGGAGAGAAACACAGAUGAAGUAGAAAGCACCGCAAGUCUUUACUUCUGUUGUGUUGCACAGCUGUGCUGUGGGCAAGAUGUCUGCAGCAGAACAACUGCUGAGAGCGCUAAUGUUUUUUAAAAAAGGAAAAGUGCCUCUCCACAGGUGUACAACAGUAUGCAUUAAAAUACUGUUUGCACACCCUCUUUUAUUUAGUGUAUAAUUCUAAAAAGUAAACCACUCUUGAGGCUGAAGGACAUUAAUUGAAGCUUUCUUACUUGCUUCAAGAAACCAGAUUCAGGAAGGCCUAAUGCAGUAAAUAGCUUGUUUUGUUUGUAAAUAAAAAACUCUAGUUUUCAGGGUCUUCCAGUCGUGGGGCUUUGUUUUUAUUUUCUGCAGUGGGUGACUGUUAGACUGGUGCUGAUGGCUCUCUGGGUUUCUCAAAUCCUUAUAGUGGUAAGUUUCAGAGUUUACUUCUGAACUGUAGAGGUAGAAAUAGAGAAAUAUUUCUAGCCUGGUUUAUACUCCGCCCCCCUUACAAUACCUGUCUGUAUUGGUUUGGCAGUCAGGGGAAAAACAAUCUUAAUAUGUGAGGAACUGUAUUUUGCACAUUUAAGGCUUUCAGUGGCUUUUGCAGCUUUUGUUAUCGUAAAUAAGCUAUGCUGUUGUUCAAGUUUUCUACAAAAGUGUACAUGUAUCUAAAUCAAUACAAUGUUAGGUAAAACUCUGUAGGAGUUCUGUUGUCAUGUUGUCAGUUCUGUUUUGGGUUUUUUGUGGGGUUUUUGGUUUGGUGUGUCUGUGAGGGUUUUUGGGGGUUUGGGGGUUUUGUUUGUUUGUUUUUUAAGGGUUGCUGUACCUUUAUCUCGUGCUGUCCAAGAUCAGCCAGGACAAGCAGAGGUCAGCGAAGUCCCCUGAUACUUGGGAAUCUGGUUCUGCUGAUUGUUGGCAGGGCUGGCCACAGGGCGUCUUGUUCUGGUCUGUGCUCCUAAAGAUGCACUGUGGUGUUUCAUCCUCGUUUCCAAGAGAGGUGUUUCUUGCAUGUUCCCAAUAUGAUCUUUCUCACCUCAUCUACCUGAGCAGUGGAAGGUCCCUGUUACAGCUGAGGGAGAGAAAAAAGAGGGGGAAGGAAGCUGCGACCACUGAUCUUUAUAGGUGCUGUAUCUGUGUUCUCUGCUUUGCCUUUUGUCAGAGCUUUCCAUUCUCAACCUGCAGUCUGGCCUGUGAUGCUCUCUGGGUGCUCUCCCAGCAAUGCAGAGAGGCUGGACAGCUGACUGCUCUGAAGGCUCAUGUUCUGAACUCUCCAAAUUUUGUUAGUCCUUGGGCAUGCUAACAAUAGAGUGUUACAUCGUGUUUUGUCACUUUGCUGUGGGUGUAAAAUGACAACAGCAAAAGCAGCUGAGCCCUAAUAUCCGACUGAACUUGGACUGGGCAUAGACUCCGAUGUCACCCUGUUCGGUGCCCUGUGCAGGACCUGGCCCAGGAGGGAGAGGGAGCAGGUGAGGGCAGGGUACCCCUUCGAGCCUGGAUUUACCAUCACAAGGAAAGGCUAGGAACUGCUUAUUUACUGUAAGUAAAUAGUAUAUCUAUUCAUUAUUUAUCUGCUUCUGAAUUUUAAUGAAUUAUAGCAGCCCUUAUAGUGAGCAUUAUACUAUAGAUAAUGAUAUAAUCUUUUAUGUAUGAGAAAAAGACUUUCUCUAAAGAUCUGCACUUGUCUUUGGGCAUGGGUUGGAUAGACAGGUAUAGUCAUUACAGUCAGCCACAGUGGAAAACAUCUUCCCUGUACCCUGAGACUAUGACUAGUAUAACCCCAGAAGUAAACUGAAGGCUGAUCUUGUCUGCUUUGCUCCAGGUAUAAUUGAGAUGAACAGAGCUUAUUAAAAAUUGAAAUGUGUAGUUUGGAGAGGAAAAUGGGCACCUAGAGCUGUCUCAUCCAAAUACUGCAUUUUAGCCAACAGCACUCUGCUGUUUUAGCAAGUGUGUGUGUACAGCUGACACUGCCAAACAAUAAAUAGAACAUUUACAAGUAAGUGUCUGCAUCAAAAAUAAAAUUUCAUCUGAAAAUGGUGAAAUUGUCUGACAUUCUUAAAGUCUGGAACGGGACUGCUAUCAUCCACCCCAGGAGCGUAAUGUACCUUUGGGCCAAGGAGCUGCUGGGUUUUGGUCAGCUGUUUUGAGUGUGUGCAUCACCAUUGAUUAUGGAUACAGUUUCUGAAAUACAUUGCUAAUAAAGUAAUUGUUUACAGGCCAGAGAGGGGGGAGUUCGUAAAUGUUAUAUUGAGAACAAAUAAACAACCCCCUAG
Molecule: long non-coding RNA, 3026 nt
Filed under: Accipiter nisus (Eurasian sparrowhawk)
Lineage: Eukaryota; Metazoa; Chordata; Aves; Accipitriformes; Accipitridae
Description: lncRNA (ENSANIG00000006501.1)
Source: RNAcentral